Molecule: transfer RNA, 75 nt
Filed under: Mycoplasmataceae bacterium
Lineage: Bacteria; Bacillati; Mycoplasmatota; Mollicutes; Mycoplasmatales; Mycoplasmataceae
Description: tRNA-Gln
Rfam family: tRNA
About the family: Transfer RNA (tRNA) molecules are approximately 80 nucleotides in length.
Source: RNAcentral
UGGAACAUAGCCAAGUGGUAAGGCCUUUGAUUCUGAAUCAAAUAUACGAAGGUUCGAAUCCUUCUGUUCCAACCA